RNAcentral lists this ribosomal RNA (525 nucleotides) under uncultured bacterium. Its description in RNAcentral is "bacterial SSU rRNA". It matches the Rfam family "Bacterial small subunit ribosomal RNA", at positions 355 to 874 of the family's 1533-position model. The record is from RNAcentral.
CUAAGAAUAUUCCGCAAUGGGCGAAAGCCUGACGGAGCGACGCCGCGUGUGCGAAGAAGGCCGAAAGGUUGUAAAGCACUUUUGCGGGCGAAGAAUAAGGGGCGGAGGGAAUGCCGUCCCGAUGACGUUAGCCUGUGAAUAAGCCCCGGCUAAUUACGUGCCAGCAGCCGCGGUAACACGUAAGGGGCGAGCGUUGUUCGGAAUCAUUGGGCGUAAAGGGCGCGUAGGCGGUUACGCAAGUCUGGCGUGAAAGGCAAGGGCUCAACCCUUGGACUGCGCUGGAAACUGUGGAACUAGAGUCAUGGAGGGGGAGCUGGAAUUCCUGGUGUAGGGGUGAAAUCUGUAGAUAUCAGGAAGAACACCGGUGGCGAAGGCGAGCUUCUAGCCAAUGACUGACGCUGAGGCGCGAAAGUGCGGGGAGCAAACAGGAUUAGAUACCCUGGUAGUCCGCACUAUAAACGAUGUGCACUAGGUGUUGGGGCGAGCGUCUCAGUGCCGGAGCGAACGCGAUAAGUGCACCUGCCU